RNAcentral lists this unclassified non-coding RNA (232 nucleotides) under Hevea brasiliensis (rubber tree). Lineage: Eukaryota; Viridiplantae; Streptophyta; Magnoliopsida; Malpighiales; Euphorbiaceae. The record is from RNAcentral.
CCAUUGCUAUCCUUCCUGUUUGAGGCCCAGAAUGUGCGCCCAUCCUUGUUUGCCUCUCAUCUUUAAACCACUGCAGGAGUUUUAAUGCUCUCUUCUGAGCUAGAGGACUCCCCAGCAGUGCAACUUCAAGAAGUACGGGGACAAUUCCAGAUUUAGCCAUUUCUCUGAGAUGAGCUUUGAUAAGCUAGAAUCAUCAGAAUAUAUGCUGAUAAUUCUUGGCAUUUGGGUUUUU